This is a long non-coding RNA of Ipomoea nil (Japanese morning glory), 110 nucleotides long. RefSeq lists it as uncharacterized. The transcript is spliced from 3 exons. The record is from RefSeq and is a predicted model, not a curated record. Lineage: Eukaryota; Viridiplantae; Streptophyta; Magnoliopsida; Solanales; Convolvulaceae.
AUGUUUGGACUUUGGAGGAGUUUGAAACAAUUUAAAGUGUUUGAACAUCUUAUGAUUAUUAUUUAUGUUUGAAAGUUGGAACUUUGGAUAUUUAUAUUAAUAAAAAUACU